This 463-nucleotide ribosomal RNA is filed under the name uncultured bacterium. RNAcentral describes it as "bacterial SSU rRNA". It matches the Rfam family "Bacterial small subunit ribosomal RNA", at positions 36 to 518 of the family's 1533-position model. The record is from RNAcentral.
CUGGCGGCGUGCCUAACACAUGCAAGUCGAGCGAGGAGAUCCUCGGGAUGAUCCUAGCGGCGGACGGGUGAGUAACACGUGGGCAACCUGCCUCAUAGAGAGGAAUAGCCUUCCGAAAGGGAGAUUAAUACCUCAUAACAUUGCAGUUUCGCAUGGAACAGCAAUUAAGGAGUAAUCCGCUAUGAGAUGGGCCCGCGGCGCAUUAGCUAGUUGGUGAGGUAACGGCUCACCAAGGCGACGAUGCGUAGCCGACCUGAGAGGGUGAUCGGCCACAUUGGGACUGAGACACGGCCCAGACUCCUACGGGAGGCAGCAGUGGGGAAUAUUGCACAAUGGGGGAAACCCUGAUGCAAGCAACGCCGCGUGAGUGAUGACGGCCUUCGGGUUGUAAAGCUCUGUCUUCAGGGACGAUAAUGACGGUACCUGAGGAGGAAGCCACGGCUAACUACGUGCCAGCCGCUGC